GACGAACGCUGGCGGCGUGCUUAACACAUGCAAGUCGAACGGAAAGGCCCUGCUUGUGUGGGGUGCUCGAGUGGCGAACGGGUGAGUAACACGUGAGUAACCUGCCCUUGACGGUGGGCUAACUUCAGCUAAGUGGAGCUAAUAACGGAUAUGAGCUCCUGCUGCAUGGUGUGGGAUAGAUAGUUUCGGCGGUUGGGGAUGGACUCGCGGCUUAUCAGCUGGUUGGUGGGGUAGUGGCUUACCAAGGCUUGGACGGGUGGCCGGCCUGAGAGGGUGACCGGCAACAUUGGGACUGAGAUAGGGCCAAGCCUCCUAGGGGAGGAAGCAGUGGGGAAUAUUGCACAAUGGGCGGAAGCCGGAGGCAGAAACGCCGCGUGCGGGAUGACGGCCUUCGGGUGGUAAACCGCUUUCGCAGGUGACGAAGCGGGAGUGACGGUAAUGGGUAAAGAAGCACCGGCUAACUACGUG
This 468-nucleotide ribosomal RNA is filed under the name uncultured bacterium. Its description in RNAcentral is "partial 16S ribosomal RNA". It matches the Rfam family "Bacterial small subunit ribosomal RNA", at positions 28 to 507 of the family's 1533-position model. The record is from RNAcentral.